This 72-nucleotide transfer RNA is filed under the name Ixodes scapularis (black-legged tick). It matches the Rfam family "tRNA". Rfam says of the family: Transfer RNA (tRNA) molecules are approximately 80 nucleotides in length. Lineage: Eukaryota; Metazoa; Arthropoda; Arachnida; Ixodida; Ixodidae. The record is from Rfam by way of RNAcentral.
CCCUGGUUGGCUCAGUUGGUACACGCUCCUCCUGUAAUGGAGAGGUCCCGGGUUCGAUACCCGGACCAGGCG